GGCGUGCUUAACACAUGCAAGUCGAACGAUGAUGCCCAGCUUGCUGGGUGGAUUAGUGGCGAACGGGUGAGUAACACGUGAGUAACCUGCCCCUGACUCUGGGAUAAGCGUUGGAAACGACGUCUAAUACUGGAUAUGAUCACUGGCCGCAUGGUCUGGUGGUGGAAAGAUUUUUUGGUUGGGGAUGGACUCGCGGCCUAUCAGCUUGUUGGUGAGGUAAUGGCUCACCAAGGCGACGACGGGUAGCCGGCCUGAGAGGGUGACCGGCCACACUGGGACUGAGACACGGCCCAGACUCCUACGGGAGGCAGCAGUGGGGAAUAUUGCACAAUGGGCGAAAGCCUGAUGCAGCAACGCCGCGUGAGGGAUGACGGCCUUCGGGUUGUAAACCUCUUUUAGUAGGGAAGAAGCGAAAGUGACGGUACCUGCAGAAAAAGCACCGGCUAACUACGUGCCAGCAGCCGCGGUAAUACGUAGGGUGCAAGCGUUGUCCGGAAUUAUUGGGCGUAAAGAGCUCGUAGGCGGUUUGUCGCGUCUGCUGUGAAAUCCCGAGGCUCAACCUCGGGCUUGCAGUGGGUACGGGCAGACUAGAGUGCGGUAGGGGAGAUUGGAAUUCCUGGUGUAGCGGUGGAAUGCGCAGAUAUCAGGAGGAACACCGAUGGCGAAGGCAGAUCUCUGGGCCGUAACUGACGCUGAGGAGCGAAAGCAUGGGGAGCGAACAGGAUUAGAUACCCUGGUAGUCCAUGCCGUAAACGUUGGGCGCUAGAUGUAGGGACCUUUCCACGGUUUCUGUGUCGUAGCUAACGCAUUAAGCGCCCCGCCUGGGGAGUACGGCCGCAAGGCUAAAACUCAAAGGAAUUGACGGGGGCCCGCACAAGCGGCGGAGCAUGCGGAUUAAUUCGAUGCAACGCGAAGAACCUUACCAAGGCUUGACAUACACCGGAAACGGCCAGAGAUGGUCGCCCCCUUGUGGUCGGUGUACAGGUGGUGCAUGGUUGUCGUCAGCUCGUGUCGUGAGAUGUUGGGUUAAGUCCCGCAACGAGCGCAACCCUCGUUCUAUGUUGCCAGCGGGUUAUGCCGGGGACUCAUAGGAGACUGCCGGGGUCAACUCGGAGGAAGGUGGGGAUGACGUCAAAUCAUCAUGCCCCUUAUGUCUUGGGCUUCACGCAUGCUACAAUGGCCGGUACAAAGGGCUGCGAUACCGUAAGGUGGAGCGAAUCCCAAAAAGCCGGUCUCAGUUCGGAUUGAGGUCUGCAACUCGACCUCAUGAAGUCGGAGUCGCUAGUAAUCGCAGAUCAGCAACGCUGCGGUGAAUACGUUCCCGGGCCUUGUACACACCGCCCGUCAAGUCAUGAAAGUCGGUAACACCCGAAGCCGGUGGCCUAACCCUUGUGGAAGGAGCCGUCGAAGGUGGGAUCGGUGAUUAGGACUAAGUCGUAACAAG
RNAcentral lists this ribosomal RNA (1444 nucleotides) under Curtobacterium flaccumfaciens. RNAcentral's name for it is "bacterial SSU rRNA". It matches the Rfam family "Bacterial small subunit ribosomal RNA". The record is from RNAcentral. Lineage: Bacteria; Bacillati; Actinomycetota; Actinomycetes; Micrococcales; Microbacteriaceae.